RNAcentral lists this unclassified non-coding RNA (186 nucleotides) under Yarrowia lipolytica. Lineage: Eukaryota; Fungi; Ascomycota; Dipodascomycetes; Dipodascales. The record is from RNAcentral.
AGCUGGAGCUUGUCUCUUCUAACAAGCUAAACCGCACACCGUGUUGAUGGCGACAUAGUUACGGGAGGGUAACCCCACUGUUGUUUCUCCAUUGAGAUGACUGAUUCCCUGUUGCAAAGUUGCGCAGGGUGGAGUUGAACUUGACGUUUUCCUCCUUCUAUUUAUAUACUCCAAUGAACGGUUUUU